GACGAACGCUGGCGGCGUGCCUAAUACAUGCAAGUCGAGCGGACGGAUGGGAGCUUGCUCCCAGACCGUCAGCGGCGGACGGGUGAGUAACACGUGGGCAACCUGCCUGUAAGACUGGGAUAACUCCGGGAAACCGGAGCUAAUACCGGAUAACUCUUUCCCUCACAUGAGGGAAAGCUGAAAGAUGGCAUCUCGCUAUCACUUACAGAUGGGCCCGCGGCGCAUUAGCUAGUUGGUGAGGUAACGGCUCACCAAGGCGACGAUGCGUAGCCGACCUGAGAGGGUGAUCGGCCACACUGGGACUGAGACACGGCCCAGACUCCUACGGGAGGCAGCAGUAGGGAAUCUUCCGCAAUGGACGAAAGUCUGACGGAGCAACGCCGCGUGAGUGAUGAAGGUGUUCGGAUCGUAAAACUCUGUUGUCAGGGAAGAACAAGUACCGGAGUAACUGCCGGUACCUUGACGGUACCUGACCAGAAAGCCACGGCUAACUACGUG
RNAcentral lists this ribosomal RNA (498 nucleotides) under uncultured bacterium. RNAcentral's name for it is "partial 16S ribosomal RNA". It matches the Rfam family "Bacterial small subunit ribosomal RNA", at positions 28 to 507 of the family's 1533-position model. The record is from RNAcentral.